CACACAAAUGCCCAUCCAUGAACGACCAAGGAAGCUAGGCCCCUUGCCACACACUUGCCCAUCCAUGAACGACCAAGGAAGCUAGGCCCCUUGCCACACACUUGCCCAUGAACGGCCAAGGAAACAAGGCACCUUGCCACACAGCAUGCCCAUGAACGACCAAGGGACCAAGGCACCUUGCCACACACAUGCCCAUCCAUGAACGACCAAGGAAGCUAGGCCCCUUGCCACACAGCAUGCCCAUGAACGACCAAGGGAACAAGGCACCUUGCCACACACAUGCCCAUCCAUGAACGACCAAGGGAAGAA
Molecule: non-coding RNA, 309 nt
Organism: Lactuca sativa (garden lettuce)
Lineage: Eukaryota; Viridiplantae; Streptophyta; Magnoliopsida; Asterales; Asteraceae
Source: RefSeq, a predicted model, not a curated record